GACGAACGCUGGCGGCGUGCUUAACACAUGCAAGUCGAACGGAAAGGCCCUGCUUUUGUGGGGUGCUCGAGUGGCGAACGGGUGAGUAACACGUGAGUAACCUGCCCUUGACUUUGGGAUAACUUCAGGAAACUGGGGCUAAUACCGGAUAGGAGCUCCUGCUGCAUGGUGGGGGUUGGAAAGUUUCGGCGGUUGGGGAUGGACUCGCGGCUUAUCAGCUUGUUGGUGGGGUAGUGGCGUACCAAGGCUUUGACGGGUAGCCGGCCUGAGAGGGUGACCGGCCACCUUGGGACUGAGAUACGGCCCAGACUCCUACGGGAGGCAGCAGUGGGGAAUAUUGCACAAUGGGCGGAAGCCUGAUGCAGCAACGCCGCGUGCGGGAUGACGGCCUUCGGGUUGUAAACCGCUUUCGCCUGUGACGAAGCGUGAGUGACGGUAAUGGGUAAAGAAGCACCGGCUAACUACGUG
This 468-nucleotide ribosomal RNA is filed under the name uncultured bacterium. RNAcentral's name for it is "partial 16S ribosomal RNA". It matches the Rfam family "Bacterial small subunit ribosomal RNA", at positions 28 to 507 of the family's 1533-position model. The record is from RNAcentral.